GACGAACGCUGGCGGCGUGCCUAAUACAUGCAAGUCGAACGCUUCUUUCCUCCCGAGUGCUUGCACUCCAUUGGAAAGAGGAGUGGAGGACGGGUGAGUAACACGUGGGUAACCUACCCAUCCGAGGGGGAUAACAUUUGGAAACAGGUGCUAAUACCGCAUAACAGUUUAUGCCGCAUGGCUUAAGAGUGAAAGGCGCUUUCGGGUGUCGCUGAUGGAUGGACCCGCGGUGCAUUAGCUAGUUGGUGAGGUAACGGCGUACCAAGGCCACGAUGCAUAACUGACCUGAGAGGAUGAUCGGCCACACUGGAACUGAGACACGGCCCAGACUCCUACGGGAGGCAGCAGUGGGGAAUCUUCGGCAAUGGACGAAAGUCUGACCGAGCAACGCCGCGUGAGUGAAGAAGGUUUUCGGAUCGUAAAACUCUGUUGUUAGGGAAGAACAGGGACAUUAGUAACUGAACGUCCCCUGACGGUAUCUAACCAGAAAGCCACGGCUAACUACGUG
This 508-nucleotide ribosomal RNA is filed under the name uncultured bacterium. Its description in RNAcentral is "partial 16S ribosomal RNA". It matches the Rfam family "Bacterial small subunit ribosomal RNA", at positions 28 to 507 of the family's 1533-position model. The record is from RNAcentral.